This 497-nucleotide ribosomal RNA is filed under the name uncultured bacterium. RNAcentral's name for it is "partial 16S ribosomal RNA". It matches the Rfam family "Bacterial small subunit ribosomal RNA", at positions 28 to 507 of the family's 1533-position model. The record is from RNAcentral.
GAUGAACGCUGGCGGCGUGCCUAAUACAUGCAAGUCGAGCGAACAGAUGAGGAGCUUGCUCCUCUGACGUUAGCGGCGGACGGGUGAGUAACACGUGGAUAACCUACCUAUAAGACUGGGAUAACUUCGGGAAACCGGAGCUAAUACCGGAUAAUAUAUUGAACCGCAUGGUUCAAUAGUGAAAGACGGUUUUGCUGGCACUUAUAGAUGGAUCCGCGCCGCAUUAGCUAGUUGGUAAGGUAACGGCUUACCAAGGCAACGAUGCGUAGCCGACCUGAGAGGGUGAUCGGCCACACUGGAACUGGGACACGGUCCAGACUCCUACGGGAGGCAGCAGUAGGGAAUCUUCCGCAAUGGGCGAAAGCCUGACGGAGCAACGCCGCGUGAGUGAUGAAGGUCUUCGGAUCGUAAAACUCUGUUAUUAGGGAAGAACAAAUGUGUAAGUAACCAUGCACGUCUUGACGGUACCUAAUCAGAAAGCCACGGCUAACUACGUG